UGACCACAGUUAAACCAUUUUUAAAUGGUUUAAAUGUGGUCACACAGACGCAAUCGCAGCCUCACACGCAGACCUUCACUGAUAACAAUAACACAGUACUACGAGCACAGGAAUGCCUGUGAAACACAAUACAUGAAACCACCUGUGAUGACUGUCUAAAUAAUCCCUGCUUACAGACAGCAAAUCUUAACAAGAUGCAGAUUCAGUGUUCACCAGUUGGGAGUCACAUCAUCAUACUUAUUGUAUCUAUAAGAACUAUUAUACAAGGAAAGAGCACCAAUAUUCAUGAAGAAUCAUGUCUAUGUACAACAAUGAAAAACAACACAUUUUUGUUUAUUUUUAUUUCAUUUUAUACUUUAUUACUCUUCCAUCAUCUUCUUUUCCCUUAACCACAUCCAAGCUUAUUUAAUCAAAAUUCAAUAGAACGAUAAAUAAUCCAGUGGGUUUCCCCUCAUCUGGUGCACAGUGCACAUCCUGAAAACAUACUUAAAAUCCCAACAUUUUUAAUGUCCUUGAGAUUAAUAAAAAUUACUUUGACCCCAACACCAUUAUAGAAAGAAGUACUAAAUAAUAAAAAUGAAAGGGGUUGGCAUGUCUCUGUGUUCAUGUAACUAAUCAGGCUAAAUCCAGAACAGCAUUCUUGACUAUAAAGAAUAAAUAAUUUGCAUAGUUUAGAAAACUAUAUGGCACCUGAAAAAUAAAUAGGUUAAAAAAAAU
This is a long non-coding RNA of Sinocyclocheilus grahami, 717 nucleotides long. RefSeq lists it as uncharacterized. The transcript is spliced from 3 exons. The record is from RefSeq and is a predicted model, not a curated record. NCBI's taxonomy places the organism in Eukaryota, Metazoa, Chordata, Actinopteri, Cypriniformes, Cyprinidae.